Molecule: long non-coding RNA, 4538 nt
Filed under: Homo sapiens (human)
Lineage: Eukaryota; Metazoa; Chordata; Mammalia; Primates; Hominidae
Description: non-protein coding XIST:58
Rfam family: X-chromosome inactivation gene exon 4 (bases 2128-2253)
Source: RNAcentral
GUACUGACCCACUAAGGCCCCUUGUACUGUUAAUGUGAAUAUUUGCAAUUAUAUAUGUCUCCUUCUGGUAGAGUGGGAUAUUAUGCCCUAGUAUCCCCUUUGCAUUACUGCAGGGGCUGCUGACUACUCAAAACUUCUCCUGGGACUGUUAAUAGGCACAAUGGCAGUUAUCAAUGGUUUUCUCCCUCCCUGACCUUGUUAAGCAAGCGCCCCACCCCACCCUUAGUUUCCCAUGGCAUAAUAAAGUAUAAGCAUUGGAGUAUUCCAUGCACUUGUCUAUCAAACAGUGGUCCAUACUCCCAACCCUUUUGCAUUGCGCCAGUGUGUAAAAUCACAGGUAGCCAUGGUGUCAUGCUUUAUAUACGAAGUCUUCCCUCUCUCUGCCCCUUGUGUGCCCUUGGCCCCUUUUUACAGACUAUUGCUCACAAUCUCAGGUGUCCAUAUUUGCAGCUAUUAGGUAAGAUUGUGCUGUCUCCCUCUUCCCUUCCCUCUGCCCUGCCCCUUUUGCCUCUUUGCUGGGUAAUGUUGACCAGACAAGGCCCUUUCUCUUGGACUUAAACAAUUCUCAGUUGCACUUUCCUUGGUCCCACCCAUUAUACAUGAACCCCUCUACUUCCUUUCGCAUUGCUUCUGAGUAUGCUGACUACCCAAAGCCCCUUCUGUGUUAUUAAUAAACACAGUACUGAUUGUCCCAUUUUUCAGCCCAUCAGUCCAAGAUCUCCCUACCACUUUGGUGUGUUGGUGCAGUGUUGACUAUGAAAAGCAGGCCUGAACUAGGUGGAUAAGCCUUCACUCAUUUUCUUUCAUUUAUUAAUGAUCCUAGUUUCAAUUAUUGUCAGAUUCUGGGGACAAGAACCAUUCUUGCCCACCUGUGUUACUGCUUUACUGUGCAAAAUACUGAAGGCAAGUCAGACCCAGGGAGCUGGAUUGCCAUCCUUUAUUUUGUGUUUCCAGUGUACACUAUAAAAUUGUCUCCCCAGGAAGGAAGGUUGGCACUUUCUCUGCAUUCUUCUUUCCAGAGCAGAUUGCCUGGUUAAGAAUCUCUUGUUGUCCCCUUUGUAUAUUGUUAUUGUAAAGUGCCAAAUGCCAGGAUACAGCCAGAAAAAUUGCUUAUUAUUAUUAAAAAAAUUUUUUUAAGAAAGACAUCUGGAUUGUAGGGUGGACUCGAUAACCUGGUCAUUAUUUUUUUGAAGCCAAAAUAUCCAUUUAUACUAUGUACCUGGUGACCAGUGUCUCUCAUUUUAACUGAGGGUGGUGGGUCUGUGGAUAGAACACUGACUCUUGCUAUUUUAAUAUCAAAGAUAUUCUAGAGUGGAACUCUUAAGACCAGUAUCUUUGUGUGGGCUUUACCAGCAUUCACUUUUAGAAAAACUACCUAAAUUUUAUAAUCCUUUAAUUUCUUCAUCUGGAGCACCUGCCCCUACUUAUUUCAAGAAGAUUGCAGUAAAACGAUUAAAUGAGGGAACAUAUGCAGAGGUGCUUUUAAAAAGCAUAUGCCACCUUUUUUAUUAAUUAUUAUAUAAAAUGAAGCAUUUAAUUAUAGUAAUAAUUUGAAGUAGUUUGAAGUACCACACUGAGGUGAGGACUUAAAAAUGAUAAGACGAGUUCCCUAUUUUAUAAGAAAAAUAAGCCAAAAUUAAAUAUUCUUUUGGAUAUAAAUUUCAACAGUGAGAUAGCUGCCUAGUGGAAAUGAAUAAUAUCCCAGCCACUAGUGUACAGGGUGUUUUGUGGCACAGGAUUAUGUAAUAUGGAACUGCUCAAGCAAAUAACUAGUCAUCACAACAGCAGUUCUUUGUAAUAACUGAAAAAGAAUAUUGUUUCUCGGAGAAGGAUGUCAAAAGAUCGGCCCAGCUCAGGGAGCAGUUUGCCCUACUAGCUCCUCGGACAGCUGUAAAGAAGAGUCUCUGGCUCUUUAGAAUACUGAUCCCAUUGAAGAUACCACGCUGCAUGUGUCCUUAGUAGUCAUGUCUCCUUAGGCUCCUCUUGGACAUUCUGAGCAUGUGAGACCUGAGGACUGCAAACAGCUAUAAGAGGCUCCAAAUUAAUCAUAUCUUUCCCUUUGAGAAUCUGGCCAAGCUCCAGCUAAUCUACUUGGAUGGGUUGCCAGCUAUCUGGAGAAAAAGAUCUUCCUCAGAAGAAUAGGCUUGUUGUUUUACAGUGUUAGUGAUCCAUUCCCUUUGACGAUCCCUAGGUGGAGAUGGGGCAUGAGGAUCCUCCAGGGGAAAAGCUCACUACCACUGGGCAACAACCCUAGGUCAGGAGGUUCUGUCAAGAUACUUUCCUGGUCCCAGAUAGGAAGAUAAAGUCUCAAAAACAACCACCACACGUCAAGCUCUUCAUUGUUCCUAUCUGCCAAAUCAUUAUACUUCCUACAAGCAGUGCAGAGAGCUGAGUCUUCAGCAGGUCCAAGAAAUUUGAACACACUGAAGGAAGUCAGCCUUCCCACCUGAAGAUCAACAUGCCUGGCACUCUAGCACUUGAGGAUAGCUGAAUGAAUGUGUAUUUCUUUGUCUCUUUCUUUCUUGUCUUUGCUCUUUGUUCUCUAUCUAAAGUGUGUCUUACCCAUUUCCAUGUUUCUCUUGCUAAUUUCUUUCGUGUGUGCCUUUGCCUCAUUUUCUCUUUUUGUUCACAAGAGUGGUCUGUGUCUUGUCUUAGACAUAUCUCUCAUUUUUCAUUUUGUUGCUAUUUCUCUUUGCUCUCCUAGAUGUGGCUCUUCUUUCACGCUUUAUUUCAUGUCUCCUUUUUGGGUCACAUGCUGUGUGCUUUUUGUCCUUUUCUUGUUCUGUCUACCUCUCCUUUCUCUGCCUACCUCUCUUUUCUCUUUGUGAACUGUGAUUAUUUGUUACCCCUUCCCCUUCUCGUUCGUUUUAAAUUUCACCUUUUUUCUGAGUCUGGCCUCCUUUCUGCUGUUUCUACUUUUUAUCUCACAUUUCUCAUUUCUGCAUUUCCUUUCUGCCUCUCUUGGGCUAUUCUCUCUCUCCUCCCCUGCGUGCCUCAGCAUCUCUUGCUGUUUGUGAUUUUCUAUUUCAGUAUUAAUCUCUGUUGGCUUGUAUUUGUUCUCUGCUUCUUCCCUUUCUACUCACCUUUGAGUAUUUCAGCCUCUUCAUGAAUCUAUCUCCCUCUCUUUGAUUUCAUGUAAUCUCUCCUUAAAUAUUUCUUUGCAUAUGUGGGCAAGUGUACGUGUGUGUGUGUCAUGUGUGGCAGAGGGGCUUCCUAACCCCUGCCUGAUAGGUGCAGAACGUCGGCUAUCAGAGCAAGCAUUGUGGAGCGGUUCCUUAUGCCAGGCUGCCAUGUGAGAUGAUCCAAGACCAAAACAAGGCCCUAGACUGCAGUAAAACCCAGAACUCAAGUAGGGCAGAAGGUGGAAGGCUCAUAUGGAUAGAAGGCCCAAAGUAUAAGACAGAUGGUUUGAGACUUGAGACCCGAGGACUAAGAUGGAAAGCCCAUGUUCCAAGAUAGAUAGAAGCCUCAGGCCUGAAACCAACAAAAGCCUCAAGAGCCAAGAAAACAGAGGGUGGCCUGAAUUGGACCGAAGGCCUGAGUUGGAUGGAAGUCUCAAGGCUUGAGUUAGAAGUCUUAAGACCUGGGACAGGACACAUGGAAGGCCUAAGAACUGAGACUUGUGACACAAGGCCAACGACCUAAGAUUAGCCCAGGGUUGUAGCUGGAAGACCUACAACCCAAGGAUGGAAGGCCCCUGUCACAAAGCCUACCUAGAUGGAUAGAGGACCCAAGCGAAAAAGGAGCAGACAUUCAUAUAGGUGAUACUGUAUUUCAGUCCUUUCUUUUGACCCCAGAAGCCCUAGACUGAGAAGAUAAAAUGGUCAGGUUGUUGGGGAAAAAAAAGUGCCAGGCUCUCUAGAGAAAAAUGUGAAGAGAUGCUCCAGGCCAAUGAGAAGAAUUAGACAAGAAAUACACAGAUGUGCCAGACUUCUGAGAAGCACCUGCCAGCAACAGCUUCCUUCUUUGAGCUUAGUCCAUCCCUCAUGAAAAAUGACUGACCACUGCUGGGCAGCAGGAGGGAUGAUGACCAACUAAUUCCCAAACCCCAGUCUCAUUGGUACCAGCCUUGGGGAACCACCUACACUUGAGCCACAAUUGGUUUUGAAGUGCAUUUACAAGUUUCUGGCAUCACUACCACUACUGAUUAAACAAGAAUAAGAGAACAUUUUAUCAUCAUCUGCUUUAUUCACAUAAAUGAAGUUGUGAUGAAUAAAUCUGCUUUUAUGCAGACACAAGGAAUUAAGUGGCUUCGUCAUUGUCCUUCUACCUCAAAGAUAAUUUAUUCCAAAAGCUAAGAUAAAUGGAAGACUCUUGAACUUGUGAACUGAUGUGAAAUGCAGAAUCUCUUUUGAGUCUUUGCUGUUUGGAAGAUUGAAAAAUAUUGUUCAGCAUGGGUGACCACCAGAAAGUAAUCUUAAGCCAUCUAGAUGUCACAAUUGAAACAAACUGGGGAGUUGGUUGCUAUUGUAAAAUAAAAUAUACUGUUUUGAAAACUUUGUAUUUUGAUGUGACAAUUUCUAACUCACUGUCCCUAA